GACGGAGGGUGCUAGCGUUGUUCGGAAUCACUGGGCGUAAAGGGCGCGUAGGCGGCCCAUGCAGUCGGUUGGUGAAAGCCCGGGGCUCAACUGUGGGCUUGCAGCUGAUACGGGCAGGCUUGAGUUCGGUAGGGGAGACUGGAAUUCCUGGUGUAGCGGUGAAAUGCGCAGAUAUCAGGAGGAACACCGGUGGCGAAGGCGGCUUGCCAGAACGCGCUCGACGGUGAGGGAUGAAAGCUGGGGGAGCAAACCGG
RNAcentral lists this ribosomal RNA (254 nucleotides) under uncultured bacterium. RNAcentral's name for it is "partial 16S ribosomal RNA". It matches the Rfam family "Bacterial small subunit ribosomal RNA", at positions 524 to 776 of the family's 1533-position model. The record is from RNAcentral.